Molecule: long non-coding RNA, 30257 nt
Filed under: Elaeis guineensis (African oil palm)
Lineage: Eukaryota; Viridiplantae; Streptophyta; Magnoliopsida; Arecales; Arecaceae
Description: long non-coding RNA (EGUI_LNC021051)
Source: RNAcentral
UCUCUCUCUCAAUCGAGCUAGCGAGCAGCCGAAGGGAUUAACUAAAGAGGAGCCUGAGCUCCGCGCUCUCAGAUCCGGCCGCGGCGAUGCACUCCGCCACACGAUCUCUGCUUCCCCUCCUCGCCCUCCUUCUCCUCCUCGUCGCCGGCGCCGUGGCCUCCGAGUUUGAUCACAAGGUACGCCCUCUUCGCUCCUCUCCUCCUUCCUUCGCAAAGAUCGCCGCAUCCGCUCGAUCCUAGCCCUAGUUUCCCGAUUAGAAAGCGGUUUCUAGCGGGAUCUUGGUAGGGGACCGACGGAUACUCUUUCGCUGUUUGUCUUUCUCUGUAUCUGCUUGGAUCCUUAGGUUAUUGAUCAGAUCGUUGGUGUUUUAACGUGGUUCGAUGGACAUAUUUGAUUCUUGGUUUCGACGGGAUGUGGGUUUUUGAUUAGGGUCAUUUCUAUGGGUUUGGAUCUGAACGGUGCUCUUUGAUUCCUUGAUUUAUUGAGCAAUUUUGCGCCAAUUGUGCCGGUCAUCCAUCAUUGGCUAUCAAAAUUCCAUCUUUUUGAUGUUUAUAGAUGGUGAAGUUCCGGCAUAUACGCUAGAGCUUCGAUUUUUGUUCUGCUUUCAAUUGAAAAAAUGUGCUCUAUAUACAUUUUGCUUAAGUGAAGUAUUGACCUGUGACAGAAUCAUGGAAUCAUAACUUUAACGGUGGCGUUUUGUUUCCGAAUCAGAUAUUCUGGAACUAGUAGUUUUUUUGUUUGUCUCUAUCAUAAGGUAGCUCUAAUGCAGUUUCAUGAAGGUAUAGAAUAGGGUAUAAUGCCUUGGAUGGGGUGGCUUUGGCUCGCUUACCAUGCGUUUAUCAUGAAAUAAAUCCCCAGAUAACACCUUGUAUGCUAUUUCUGGUGGAGAAAACCAGUCUUUGUGAUUAGUGCUAAUAGUUGGUGACACUCGUUGUUUGGAAUUGAAAAAAAUGCGAACUUGUGGCUUUUUGCUGGUCAAUAAGGUUUGGAAACAGAUCUUAUACUAAAGAAAUAAAGAAAACAUAAAGGCAAAGGAGACAUUGCAUUCUGGGGAUCUAUGGUCAAAAGAUUUUUGUUUGGUAGUGUUAAGGCAUAUAUUCAGGGAGGGUUGCCAUAAUAUUAAGGGAAGGAAGAGUAUAUAAGUUGCAGCAGUACAUGAUCAAGGAGAGCAAUACUAGAAAAGGGAGUUUGGGAUGUACCAAUGUAGUUGUCCUUUUCAUUUGUUUGUCCAUCAGAUUAAAUUGCCUUUAUAAUUAGCCAUCCUAUUCAAUCAUCCUUGAUGAGUAUGGCCAGUAUGCCCAAUAAGUUUUGGUUGUUUUGACACUCAAGUGAGUGGAAAAGAAAAAUGAGGGAGUGUAGAUGCAGGUACCCAUCAAUUUUUAUGGGCUCUGUCCAAUAAAAUAACUGAUAUAAAACGGAACUCCAAGUCCGUGAGCCAACAGGGAGCCCUUAUCCAAAGUAGGCUUGUAGGCUAAUUUAGGACUCAGCUAUUAAUCUUCUGUUCUUUUUCAUGGCUUAUUGAAUUGUUGUAAAAUUCUUGGAUAAUGUAAGAGCACUGUAGUUGUGUGCUUAAAGGAAUGUAGGCCUUGACUCAAUCAGAAUAUUUUUUCCCUUUUUCAGCACUGCUGGAAGAUUUGUCUCAAGGACUCAAGUGGAUGUCGAUGACAAUGAGUCAUAUAUUCUAAAAUAAACCUACAGAUAUUGAGUAACAGCUUCUAUAGUAUAUGGUCCAAUUGUAUAUGAUAUUAGUAUGUGAUUCUUGAGCAUAAUCCUAAAACUAAUAAACUCCCUAAAAUUACUUAAACCAAAGCAUUAAAUGAUCAGUAUAAACCAACUAGAGUCCUGCAUGUGCAGCGCAUGUGCACUGAUUUUUUUCCCCCUUUUUUGGCCUACAUUUUUUUGCUUUCUUUUCGAUGUGUCAGAGGAGUGUGUGGAAAAUGGAGGGGGAAAUUAGAGGGAGAGGAGUGUAUGAGUAUAUAAAUUUUCUAGGAACUAUGAAGCCACGGGGCUUCAUGCCUUGAGGUAGGCCACAUGAAGCUAGCCACAAUACUUUGACAUUAUACAUUAGUAGAUCUCAAAAUAAUCCUAUACAGAAACCAAUGCAGAAAAGGGGAAGCCAACAUGAGAAGACAAUCAAUUACAAAAAUAAUUGGUUUCCGAUGCUUGCAUUAAGUAAAAGCAAGUAAUUUGGCUAAUUUUUGUGAUGCAAUUUGGAAUUAAUCUGGCUAAAAUUGUAACAAGGGAUUCAGUAUUUCAUUUCAUCUAUUUCGAGCAAAAUAAUUUGAUCAGAGGUAAAAUUCAUUCCAUUGGGGAGAGAGUUAAAUUAGGAAGCACGUUGUUCAUUUUAUAAAAAUGAAAAGUGUUUUUUCUGGAUUGAAAGUGACAAAAAUAGUAAAAGCGUAGGAGGCAUAGAUACCCUGUUUUUUUGUAUUCACAUGCAACGCAAAUUGUGCUUUGAUCAUUCUGUUAGGAGCAUUCAAGCCAAAGAAAUUGUGGAGUUGUUUUUAAUAACAAAGGUAUGUUAAUUGCUUAUUUUUGUAACAGUAGUCUGUCUCUGAUUUCCUUCUCCUUGUUCUUCUUAAUAAUUUUUGUAAUAGGUAGAUUGCCUGCAGGCCAUGUAAAUCAGUAGGAAAAGAGUUUGUUAUAUUUCUACAUCAACUAAAUUGUCCCAAAAAAAAAAAAGUAACUGUAGAUGUGGUUAUUUGAAAGUAAGAGCCAUAGCCUAUGGGUUAAUGAUAUUGUCUAUCAAUGUCAUAAUUGAUGAAUAAUUAGUGAUUAAGGUAGUGCUCUACUGUUGUAAUCCCUUUUAGUGUUUUCUGAAUGAGCUGAAGUGCCUUAGCUUGGUCUUCUUUGCACAUGUUGUCAUUAAACCACCGUAUUUGCAUUCAUGGCAUAUUUAGUGAUUCCAUUUCAUAAAAAGCUCCUUUUCUUAUUAAAUAUGUUGUAAGAGGUCUUUUUUCUAUACUGCUUUUGUCCUUACCUACUCUCUACCCCUCCUUUUUUCCUAACAAAUUGACACUAAAGUUUAUGUAAGAGAUAGUUAGAUAUUAAAAUAUAAAUCCCCUUGUCUUGCAAGCUUAAAAUUUUAGGUCAAACUCAUUAAAGCACCUUUGAGCUCUAAAAAGAUGGAACAUAGUGGAAGAGAGUGGAGAUAGAAACAUCAACUUUGCAUUAGGAGAAGAUGGAGUUUACCAAAUUGGGGAAGUAGCCUUGUGUUUGCUAACCAAUGUCUAGUUAGUUUGCUGUAAGGGACAUGGAAAGUAGGUUGCAUAUGCAUUACUUAACUGCAAGGUUGGGUAUGCAAAAAAGUAAACUGGCAGGAGUUUGUAUUCCAUACUCUUGGAAUUUCUUUACAUAAGAUACUUUGGGUAUCUUAUGGCAAGAUUAUCUUCUUUUAGCCUGGCCUUCUCUUUCUAUUGUGGGGAUUGUUCAGUAUCUUAUGGGAAGAUUAUCUUCUUUUAGCCUGGCCUUCUCUUUCUAUUGUGGGGAUUGUUCUAUGGGUCUCAUGUUCAUUCUCGUGUUCAUGACCUAAUUUGGGAUCAAAAUUGUCUUUAGCUGUUCCUAUUAUUCUGUAUUCUCUAAUAACAUAAUAAUUCGCCAAUGCUUUUUAAGUUGACAUAUUUGCGAUAUGCAACUUCAUGUAUCAGAGGAAACUUUUGUUUUGUUUUGUUUUUGUUUUGUUUUGUUUUGUUUUUUUUGAAUUUGGACUUCCACUAAGAAUAUUAUCAUGGCUUCAUAUGCAGUACAAAGCUGAUGACCCUGUCACACUCUGGGUAAACAAGGUUGGCCCCUAUAAUAAUCCUCAGGAAACCUACAACUAUUACAGCCUUCCAUUUUGCCAGCCAUCUGAAAACCCUGCACACAAGUGGGGUGGGCUUGGGGAAGUUUUGGGUGGAAAUGAACUGAUAGACAGCCAAAUAGAGAUAAAGUUUCAAAGUAUGAACUCUUUCUUUACAUAUUCCUCCUUUUCUUUUCUGGAUUAUUGAUUUGGAAUGGAGCUCGGACCAUAUUUGUUGGAGACAUCAUUUUUGAUUGCCUUUUUUUUUCCCCAAGAAAAUGUUGACAAGGGCUCCAUUUGCACGCUUGAGCUUGAUGCCGCAAAGGUGAAGCAGUUCACAGAUGCAAUAGUUAACUCAUAUUGGUUUGAGUUCUUCAUUGGUAUGUUUUUGACUGUAUACAACUUUCUUCUUUCCUUUUUUUUCCUUUUAAAAUACAGCAAAAUUGCCAUAUAUGUCCAUUUGCUCUUUGAUUCUUUUCAUAUUAUUGUGAUUGAAUGCUUACCAUUUUUCCUUUUUAUUUUCCUCUUCCUUGCUGGGGCACAAUGAUUUAGAUGAUCUACCUUUGUGGGGUAUGUAUAUGUCAGUUCGUCAUGCCUUCUGUUUGUAUUUUGAUAAUUGUGUCAUAUUGUUUUUCCUUCAGAGUUAUACUAAUUUACAUUCACUUGUUAUCAGGCUUUGUUGGAGAGACUGACAAAAACAAUGAAAAUAAACAUUUUCUUUUCACACACAAGAAUAUUGUUGUUAGAUACAACAACAAUCAGGUAUAUGGUUGCUAAAAGCUUUAUAAUUAUUCCUUUCCAGACCACUUACGGUACUGGUUUUGUCUUUUUCUCUUUCCUGCAGAUCAUUCAUGUCAAUCUCUCUCAAGAAAGUCCAAAACUUUUGGAAGCUGGGAAGACAUUAGACAUGACCUACUCUGUGAAAUGGUCAUCAACAAAUGUGAAAUUUGCACGUCGUUUUGAUGUUUACUUGGAUUAUCCUUUCUUUGAGCACCAGGUAAGGCUUUUUAAUACCAGCCCAUCAAGUUUUGGCUCAAUUAACUUCAAGGCACCCUCUGCUCUGCUGUCUUCCAAAAUUUGAAAGGCUAUGCCUGAGAACUUUAUGGCAUUGCGGAUAUGUUCCAUUUGAUAGUUUUAGUGGAGAUUCCUUCUUGCUUUGAAAACAAACUGUUCCUUCUGCAGAUUCAUUGGUUCUCCAUUUUCAACUCUUUCAUGAUGGUUAUUUUCCUCACUGGCCUGGUGUCCAUGAUAUUGAUGCGAACUCUCAGAAAUGAUUAUGCAAAAUAUGCUCGUGAAGAUGAUGAUUUGGAGACUCUGGUGAUUAUCUGCACCCCUUUCAGUUGCCGAAAUGUCAUAUAUGUAGAGCAUACCUUAUAAUUUGAGUUACUUUUAGUUGGCAGUUUUUCACUAAUGUUGGUAGCAUGAAAUUCGGUCAUUGUUUUGUUAGUCAAUUUGUAUGUUCAUGUAGUUGCAUUUUGUCAGGAAAGAGAUGCGAGUGAAGAAUCUGGAUGGAAGCUUGUUCAUGGAGAUGUCUUUCGGCCUCCUCGCAAUUUGGUUCUUCUUUCAGCUGUUGUUGGUACUGGUGCCCAGUUGGCAAUUCUUAUUCUUCUGGUAAUCGUGUUGGCAAUCGUCGGAAUGUUGUACAUUGGGUACGUAUAGAAUCAGGUUGAUGCCUACCAGAUGGAAUUAAUUUUUUUGGUUUUCGAGUUGAGGAGAUAAUACUGGAAAUGAAGGAAAAAAUGCAAAGAGACCACCAAGCAAGCAUGACAGAAAGCACACUCAUAUACUAUACAAGUAUUACAUUCUUUUACGUGUUCAUUCAAAUUUUCCAUUAUUACCAAACUAAAAAGCUUAUUUUAUUUUUCUCACAAAAACCUCAUUAUGCUUUGAUCACCUGUUAUCGAAUUGUGAUUCUGUGAUAGCGGUGGUUGUAUUCUCUUUAUUUAUUCUUUUCUAAUUGGAUCGUAAUUGCCUUUUGCACUUAUUUUAACAAUUUCAUACUCAUUAUGCUCUGAUGACCUGUUAUCUAAUUAUGAUUCUAUGGUAUCAGUGGUUGUAUUCUCUCUAUUUAUUCUUUUCUAAUUGGAUCACUAUUGUGUUUUGCACCUACUUUAACAAUUUUGUAUGUGUGUCAGGCGAGGAGCUAUUGUCACGACUUUCAUUGUGUGCUAUGCUCUCACGUCAUUCAUUUCGGGCUAUGUUAGUGGUGGACUUUACUCACGGAAUGGCGGUAUGGUUUUUCUCAAAUUGGUUCUGUUACUUUUUUUCUGGCUCCAAUAUGUGGUUCUUAAAAGUUGAUCAUACUAAUUUUUCAGUUUUCAAGGGAGCUCCUAACUGAAUGCAUGUUUUGUAUAUUGGCAGGUAAAAACUGGAUAAAGGCAAUGAUCCUUACAGCAUCACUGUUUCCAUUUAUGUGCUUUGGGAUUGGCUUCAUACUUAACACAAUUGCUAUAUUCUAUGGAUCACUGGCAGCUAUUCCAUUUGGGACAAUGGUGGUUGUGUUCAUACUUUGGGCUUUCAUCUCCUUUCCUCUGGCACUUUUAGGUACUGUUGUGGGUAGAAACUGGAGUGGCUCCCCAAAUAAUCCAUGCCGUGUGAAGACCAUUCCUCGUCCUAUUCCAGAGAAGAAAUGGUAUCUUACACCUUCUGUUGUCUCACUCAUGGGAGGGCUGCUUCCUUUUGGAAGCAUAUUCAUUGAGAUGUAUUUUGUCUUCACGUCCUUCUGGAACUACAAGGUAAGAGUAUAAAAGUUUUCUAUAGAUACUCGUCAUGAUAAUUUGUUAUGGUCUUUUUGUGUUUCACUAUUUAUUCGUGAAUUAAGUUUGAAUAGUCUUUAUGCUCUGUAGUUCCAGCCUUCCCCUAUUUAGUCAAUCAUAUUGCUAUUGAUGAUUAUUCUGAAAUUUUUGUCUGGUUUUUGAUUGGGCUGUUUAAAUCCUGAGAUUUGUUGAAGUGCAUUGACAGAAAAGGAUGCUAGAGACCUGAUCGGCUUAUUUUUUGCUUAUGUUACUUGGCAGGUUUACUAUGUUUAUGGCUUUAUGUUGCUGGUAUUCCUGAUCCUCAUAAUUGUCACAGUAUGCGUGACCAUCGUGGGAACAUAUUUCUUGCUAAAUGCUGAGAACUAUCACUGGCAGUGGACUUCUUUCUUUUCUGCAGCUUCAACUGCUGUCUAUGUGUACCUUUACUCUAUAUAUUACUAUCAUGUGAAGACCAAAAUGUCGGGCUUUUUCCAGACUAGCUUCUAUUUUGGCUACACUCUAAUGUUUUGCCUUGGUCUAGGAAUACUUUGUGGUGAGCUUUAGCCUUUACAAUCUUUGCAAGAAGUGGUUCCUCAUUUAUUUCCUUUUUGACUGUUGAACUGACAGCAUCUCUUUACAAAAUUCAGGUGCUGUGGGCUAUCUGGGGUCUACGAUGUUUGUUAGAAGAAUUUACAGAAACAUCAAAUGUGACUAGCCACAGCCAAAUUCCAAACACUAGGAGUGUAUGCCGUUAUGCAUUGUUGAGACAGCAGCAUUUGGGGGGGUGUGUUAAAGUUGGAUCGCUUACAGAAUCUGAUAAUGCCUGGUUAAACUGCAAGGGAGGGCUGUGCGUUCUUCUUUUACUUUUUCUGCAGCUGCUUCCCUUCUGAUCUCUGGACUUUUGGAUGGCUUUGCAUUUUUUCCCAUGCUGUAGGCAAUAGCCUCCAUAUACUUAAUUAACACAGGAUAAAUUUAAUUUAGUGGAAAGCAUAUUCAGCCUCUUUUAAUCUGUUUGGUGUUAAUAUGGACCCAAAGCUGGGUAAUCCUCUGCUAAUGGAUAAAGCAUGUACUAGUGUCUAUUCCCUCUUUAUACCUAUCAUUUCUUAUAUCAUCUAAUUAAUGUUUCUGUUUCUGCUUGUUGAAAUAUUUAGAACUGUCCAAUUCAUUUGUAGUAUGGAAUUUAUGGAAGUUAUUUUUAUCACCAUUAUAUAAAGUUACAUUGAGGUUCUCUACUGUAUCUGUUGAGUGUGUCUCUAUAUAUAAAUAGUUUCGAUUUGAAUGUGUUUGAAAGGGUAUGGUUUCUUACAUAUUCUGCCCGAUAGAGGGUUUUUCGAUAAUUCAAGGGUGCAAAUAUCAGUUGCUCGGGGGGUGUUAUCAUAAUUCUUCAGAGAAUGCCAAAUAUCCGUCUGCCUUGUAGCAAAGGGCAACAAAAUUCUGCCCUCUUGACAUGCUUGUGUGAUGAUCAUCACGAAUCAUCAUCGAAAACCUUUUGGAGUUUUAAUGCGAAACAGCUUAGUACUGGUUUACUGCUUUCCUACAGAAUUUGUCAAUCCAUUGUUCUUUUAUUGAGAAACUGCUUUUUUACGUCUGUUCCCUUUGCUGUCUUCUUCUAUGGUUUAAUUCCCUAUAAGGUUCUGUUUAGGCCGGAGGCGUAUUGUUUGAAAAAAAUUAUCUAUAGAUUUUUAAAUUAAUUUAAAAUUAUUUCUAAGUCUUUCAAAUUUUUAGAUUUUAUAAAAAAUUUUUGAACUACUAAAAAUUAUUUCUAGAUCUCUGUCAUUCACAUAGAUUGAUUACACAGGUCCAUAUUCAGAUUAUCUAGAUUUAUAUUCAAGUUACACAAAUUUAUGAACUUGUGUAAUUUGAAUAUAAAUCUAUAUAAUUUGAAUAUAGAUUUGGAUAUAAAUUUAUAUAAUUUGAAUAUAAAUUUAUGUAAUCUAAACAUGGAUGUGUGUAAUCAAUCUGCAUCGGCGGUAGGGAUUUAGAAAUGAGUUUUUAGUAGUUCAAAGACUUUUUAUGAAGUUUGAAAAAUUGAAAGAUUUAAAAAUAAUUUUGGAUCAAUCUAAGAAUCUAUAAAUAUUUUUUUUAUUGUUUGCGGCCCUUCUUAACCAAGGAGGACUUGCUACGGUGUAUGGAAAGACUUGCUCCGUUGUGUAUGGAAAGCAAUACUGGUUCCGUUUCAUGCUCAAAAAUUAUUAUUAUUAUUAUUUUUUGGUCUCCUGUAGCUGUUUGAUGUCUUUGAAGUGGAUUCAAGAAAAAUAAUGCUCAUUUCGAACUGAUCUAAUUGAAGCGCAUUUCAGCAUGGCUCGAUCUAAAGCCUUCAUUUUAAGUACCAGCAGAAGGGAAGGCAAAGGAAACGGAAGCAGCGUGUCUCAGUUUCUUGUAGAAAUAAAGGAAUGUAGCUUCUUCUCCCUUUUGACUUGGAAGCAAGUCUUCGCCAUGAUGUCAUGAAACAGUAAUUUGCAUGACCAAAUAAAUUGGAUAUUUUUGUGGAAAAAAAUAGAAAUGUUGAAACGCCUAUCGUAUUUGACCUUCAGCACCAUGUAAUCUCCAAAAUAGAAAUAUUUGCUGUGCUGUUAGCGGAGGCAAGGAAUAUAAAAGAAUCAAAUCAUCAACUCAUUCGGUGGGGGAAGGGAGCGAUAAACGAGGGGAAGAAAACGAAGGAUGAGUCAGGGACCCAAUUGGUCCCGCAAAGGAUUCUCUUCUCUAUGUACGCCAAUAUUCUUCAGCAUGGACCGCCCACACGUGGCUGGGCUAACUUUCUUUCGGCCCACAAGCCUUUUAUAGCCCACUUCCGUCUUCGACCGCUCCACUUCUUUUUUUUCUUUUUUUUUUUCGAAGGUGGCUGGGUCGGUGGGGGAGCGGAGGGGGGCGCGUUGGAAUUAAGUUAUCAAGUAUAUGGAUUUAAUGGGUACCAUGAAGUACUUGGGCAGAAAAAAAAAGGUGACAUAAAGAGGGAAGGGGUUGUAUCUUUUACACAAAAAAAUGGUUCACCUUCCUUCGCACGAAGCCCCCCAUGGAUCGUGCAAAUGUUGAUUUGAGAUUUGUGCAAGUUGAUGAAUGAGAUAUUUUAAGUGUUUUGAAAGCUGUGUAAGGUGUGAUCCAACGGAUCACAUCGUGAAAGAUCAAUCAUUCUUUGCUCUAAAACACGCAACCCGAUUACCUGAACCCACAUACAAGGCAAGAAACAGCUAUCCAUGGAAGGAGUCAAAUGGGACUAUAAAACUACCCUAUCCUCAUCUCCUUCAAUAAACUGGUCCAAUCACAUCAAAACCCCAUUCAUACCUCCCUUCCAGUGAGGUAACCAGCCCAUCAUAAACAAAUUUUUAUAUGUUUUUGAGCUGACUUGACUUCGGAGUGAUGGAGUGGUCCAUGACUCAACCAGUGUACAACUCCCAUAAGAAACCUCUGAGAGCUACGUGUUUCCUCUUCAGAUCCUGAUAUUUCGCUCACAAACCCAUUGCAUAAUCUCGAAACUACUACGAAAUUACAAACAGGAAGGGCGGUAGACUACAUCUUGUGAGGUCUAACAUGGCAAAUUUUUAAUCAUAAUAAAUGAAGAAAAGAUAUAAACCAAUCCACUUACCUAUUCCAAAAAAAACAAAUCUCACAGUCUCACUCUUCAGCGCUUCUUGAAAGAUAAAAGACACAGCAGGAUAUGUCAUGGUUAAAAGCUCCAAUCCUUUUCAUCUUUAGCAGCAUCUUUUACAGAAGCUUGCAUCAAAAGAAGAGUUUUCCAACUCCACAAGCUCUUCCUUGGACGCAGAACAUUGGACACCAGGAAGAAUGAACAUUCAAAGCAAUGAAGCCCAUUAGUGCACUGAUGCUGUCUUCAGACAGUAAGUAUGCAAUGAAUUAAUUAAUUAAUCUCCAUAUCAGACUCCAAAGCAAAACUUUAAGCAUCCUAAUAAAGAAGCCCGAAGACACAAUCUCACGUGCAUUAUUGUAAGCCAUGCAUCUUUGUGCUAUUCUUUGAAAAGAAUGCACAAGUGUCACUCUCACAACACACCUCAAUGGGGCCCUCCCCUCCCGCCAAAGCCCACCAUAAAUUCUAGUUUUCUAUAAAAACCUUCGUUAACACCCAUUCCACUCUCCUCUUCUUUCCACCUCCUCUUCCGCUUGAGACUUGGUCGUGCUCAUAAGACUACUCUCUCUAGCUUCUUAGACUUUUUUAUAUGCAAAGACUUGAGAUAAUAUAUAUCAAGUCCAUCAUUAUUAUAUAGUUUUAGUAGUACAUAGUUAACACCUUGGAGGAGGUGGAAAGGAGGAAGAAGAAUAGGAAGAGAUGAAGGUGGCGGUGGAGGUGUUGGAAGCGCACGACCUGAUGCCGAAGGACGGCGGCGGCACGGCGAGCGCCUUCGUCGAGGUGGACUUCGACGGGCAGCGCCGCCGCACCCGGACCAAACCUUAUGACGUCAACCCCUUCUGGAACGAGAUUCUCUUCUUCGACGUCGCCGACCCCCUCGACCUCCCCAGCAGCACCAUCCACGUCGCUGUCUACCACGACCGCUCAGCCGGUGGCGGCGGCGGCCACCAGCAGGGCCGCAGCUUCCUCGGCCGUGUCCGCCUCUUCGGCUCCUCCGUUGCCCCUUCCAGCGCCGAGGCCGCCAUCCAGGUCUGCUCCCUCGACCGACGCCGCCUCUUCUCCCGCGUCCGUGGCGACCUCUCCCUUCGCCUCUUCGCCGUCCCAAACUCCUCCAAAGCCUCCUCCUCCAGCCACUCCCCCUCCACGACCGCUGCCGUCCCGGAAACCCAUUCCUCCGAGAACCCUCCGCCGGCCUCCAAGGAGAAGAAAGUCUUUCACACGGUGGGCUUCGAACCUGCGCAGAUUCGGACUAAAGAAUUCAUGAACAUGGAGAAGAACCACAGCCGAAGCCAUCACUUCCGAGCAGAAGCACCGCAGCCGCCUGCGGCGGCGGCGGCGAUGCACGUGGAGGCCCGUCCACAGCCGAAAUCCGAUUACGUUCUCAAAGAGACGCAGCCGCCGGUCGCCGCCCGGAGGGGCUACCGCGGCGGCGCCAAGAUCGCCAGCACCUACGACCUGGUGGAACAGAUGGAGUACCUCUACGUCAACAUCGUCAAAGCUCGGAACUUGCCGGCGAUGGACAUCACCGGCAGUGUCGACCCCUACGUGGAGGUGAAGGUCGGCAACUUCAUCGGAAAGACGCAGCACGUGGAGCGGAACCAGAACCCGGAGUGGGACCAGGUGUUCGCGUUCUCGAAAGAACAGCUCCAGGCGGACCGGGUGGAGGUAUGGGUGAAGGACAGGGGCGUCCUCAGGGAUGGGUUGGUGGGGAAAGUGAGCGUUCCCUUGGUGGAGGUCCCUUGGCGGCUCCCCCCGGACUCCCCCCUGGCCCCCCAGUGGUACAGACUGGAGGACGCGGAGAGGAGGGAGGAAGUGGGGAGGGGGGAGGUGAUGAUGGCGGUGUGGAAGGGGAGCCAGGCGGACGAGGCCUAUCCUGAAGCCUGGCAUUCGGACGCCCAUACUAUUCCCUUGGAGGCAGUCCUCCACACCCGUUCCAAGGUCUACUUUGCUCCCAGGCUUUGCUACCUCCGGGUUCAUGCCAUUGCAGCACAGGUAGGUAGUCGUCAUGAUCUCCUGACCCUUUUUUUUUUUUUUUGUGGAAACAAGAUUAAUAAAAGUUAUGUAAAUUCUGGUAAUUUUUUGUAAUUAAUGAAAACGUUUUUUUUGAAAAAAAAAGAAUAUAAUUGUCUUUUUACUAUUAUUAUUUGUAGGUAUAGUGUCAUCGGAUUAUGAGUUAUAUUGAUGAGCCACUCUAAUGGCAUGUAAUGCCAAGUUGAUGAGUAAUAGUUGGAUGACGUACGCCCGGUUGUAUUAAUUUUUAAUAUUGGUUUUAGCUUUGAUAACGUAUUACGCAAAGUAUUCCAAAUGAUUGCUGAGUUUUCUUGUGCCAUUGAUUGGAGUUGAAGUGAUCUAUAUUUUCUUCUACCUUAGCUCAGCUCUUGACUUAAGAAAUACAAUUUGCAUUAUUUUAAAGCACACGUGGUGAGGCUUUUUUUUUUUUUUUUUUUGGUGUUUAUUGUCAUUGUGAUGAGAACACACAUACUUACUGUUGCGGUUAUAUUAGAAUUUAUUGAAAUAUUUAUUCUAAUAAACGUUUCUCUUUUUUUGUUAUUUUUCUCCUUAUUUUGAGUUUGUAACAGGAUCUGGUUCCCUCCGAAGAGACCCGGCUCCAGCCCGAGACCCACGUCAAGGUCCAGCUCGGAUCUCAGAUCCGGUUCACCCGGCCCUCUCCGGUCCGCUCACUGAACCCGUCCUGGAACGAGGAGUUCAUGCUGGUGGGCUGCGAACCAUUCGACGAGCCGGUCAUAAUCACGGUCGAAGAUCGGCUCGCUCCCGGCAGGGACGUCCCACUCGGCCGGCUCGUCCUCAACAAACCCAGAAUCCCUACUCAGGCAACGUUGCAAUAACGAUUCCAACAAAUUAAUAUAUUUAUUUCGUUAUUUCACCUGUCCACCUAAUAAUGGAUAAUAAAUACCAGAUUUUUAACUGGUACAGAGGUUCAACCAUUUCCCUUCACAGGAUUUUGUUCUAAAAGAACCCCUUUUUUUUUUCUCUUUGCAAAAAGAAAACACCCCUUAAUUAAUAUCGAGCCAUGCAUAAAACCAUUAUUUCCAUAAGUUCACCAUGAAAAACAUGUAUUGCUCUACCGAGAAUAAGCUAAUAGAUUAAUUCGAUCAUUAACUGUUCAUUAAAUAUGGGAAUAACUAUUAACUAGUCUUUCAAGUGAUUUUUUUUUUUUUUUUUAGAAGCAAAACAUGAGGACGGGCGAGGAUAUUAAAUAACACCACUUAUUACAUUAUAAUUCACUUAACAUAACAAUAAGAAUUUGGACCUUCUAUAUAUAUAUAACACCCGUUAUUCCAAAUUUAUUCCAGGCUGACCACCGCCGGAUCAUGCCAAACCAGUGGUUUGACCUCUCCAAACCCACCUUCUUUUCCGAAGACACCACCACCACCACCAGCGAGGAGCGGAGGAGAGACUCCAAGUUCUCCAGCAAGCUCCAUCUCCGGAUCUUCUACGACGCCGCCUACCACGUCAUCGACGAGCCCAUCCAAUACAGCAGCGACUUCCAGCCAUCAUCGAAGCCUCUCCGAAAGCAAAGCAUCGGAAUCCUCGAGCUCGGCAUUUUGAGCGCCAAAGAUUUGGUGCCCAUGAAGCUCAGCAAUGGCGUCGCCACCGCCGACGCCUACUGCGUCGCCAGGUACGGCCCCAAAUGGGUCCGAACCCGAACCCUCCUUGGCUCCCUCUCCCCCAAGUGGAACGAGCAGUACACUUGGGACGUCUUCGACCCCUGCACCGUCCUCACCAUCGCCGUCUUCGACAACUGCCAACUUCACAACAAUGGCAACAAGAACGGCAAUGGCUCCAAGGAUCAAAGGAUCGGCAAGAUAAGAAUUCGUCUCUCGACCUUAGAAACCAAUAAGCUUUACACUCAUUACUAUCCAUUGUUAUCUAUUCAACCUUCUGGUUUGAAAAAGAUUGGCGAGCUUCAUUUAGCUAUCCGAUUCACUUGCACCGCAUGGACCAACAUGGUCACCCUCUACACGAAGCCCAUGUUUCCGAAGAUGCACUACGUCAAACCGAUCCCGGUGUUGCAAAUGAACUACCUCCGCACUCAGGCGAUGGGUGUGGUCAUGUCUCGGCUUGCACGGGCGGAGCCGCCGCUCCGGAGGGAGGUGGUGGAGUACGUGCUCGACGUCGGCUCCCAUUUGUUCAGCGUGAGACGGAGCAAGGCCAACUUCGGACGUAUCGUUUUGUUGUUGUCUGGUGUGACGGCGGUGGCCAGGUGGUUCGACGGAAUUCGGAACUGGAAGAAUCCGGUGACCACAAUACUAGUCCACGCGCUGUUCUUGAUACUGGUGUUCUACCCGGCCUUGAUCCUGCCUACCGUCUUCCUCUACUUGUUUGCGAUCGGAGCAUGGAACUACGGGUCCCGGCCGACGGAGCCGCCGCACAUGGACACGGAGCUGUCGUGUGCCGAAACGGUGACGACGGAAGACUUGGAUGAAGAAUUCGAUCCAUUUGUGACGAGGAAGUCGAUAGAGGUGGUGAGGAGGAGGUAUGACCGGCUGAGGUCGGUGGCGGGGAGGGUGCAGGAGUUGGUGGGGUUCUUGGCGACGCAGGGGGAGAGAGUCCAGGGUCUGUUGAGCUGGAGGGAUCCCCGGGCGACGGGGAUCUUUAUAGUGUUUUCGGCCAUAUUAGCUGUUGUCUUCUACGCGGCGCCGAUCCAGGUGGUGCUGGUAGUGGUGGGGCUGUACGUGCUGCGGCACCCCAGGCUCAGGAGCAAGAUGCCUUCUGUGCCUUAUAAUUUCUUCAGGAGGUUGCCGGCCAUGUCUGAUAUGCUUCUAUGAACUAAUGAGCAGGAAGGAAGGAAGGAUGUGUAUUGUGUUGGACCACUGUCAGCCUUUUUUUUAAUCAUCUCUCAGUCAUCCCCUGAUGACCUAUGAAUCUACUCGGUUAGUGUUUUACCGCAGGAUCCAUGAGAAUGGUACCUCUUUGGUUGUUUCGAACGAAGGGAAAGGGGAUGAAACUUUUUCUUUUUUUUAAUUUUUAUCGAGCAGUGAGUGGAUUCUGGUAUAUCUGGUUGGUAGCAGAACUUUUGCCCCGGAGAGCGAUCGCUCUUUUGGUAUGUCCCUAUCGAACAAAAAUCCUCUGGCGGAGGAGAUUGCAUGGAGCGGUACUGUUCAUUCUCUUUUUUUUUUUUUUAUUCGGGUGAGAAACGCAAACAUCAUUUGGGGGGACAAAGGAAAGAGAGUUAACCACUUAACGGAGAGGCAUUCCUCAUUGAACAUAUGCCUUAACCAUUUUAAAGUAAAAAUGAAGGAGUCGGAGUGGGACGAGACUCCUCCGUCCAUCCUAUGAUUAAUUUUUACUAAAAAAAAAAUCAAUCAUCAUCUAUAUAUUGUUAAGAUUUGAUGUCUCGAGAUUCGAUCUACAUUGAGCCCACAGUGAGGUCCGUGACGAAAAAUAAAGUCCAACGAGAUUAAGAUCACUUCAAACGAAGUCCGGACGGCCGAAAUACGAGUGAUUGAAGUCAGCAUGAAACUCGGAGCGAUAGAGGACCGCCGGCGGUGCGGCCGCGGCCCGCGCCCAGGCACACGAGCGCACGGGCCGGCUCAGGCGCUGUGCUGGGAGCCCAUUGCCCAAUCCACUGUGGAUCGGACGGUGCACAAUGGACUGCAUAGGUGUUUCCCACGCGUUUCUCGCAGUUCACGGACUGUUUCGUGGACCAAUGCACGAUCGGAGGGUGUGAGUUGAUUCUGAUUUCGAUCCAAUGGUCCAGGGGCUUUGUUUGAUUGCUUUGAGGAUUUUUUAAUCCAAUCUAAUCCGUUUUUAAGCCUUUAAAAGGCCUGGUAAUGCAGCAGAGAGGUGUGGUUCGGUCUGGCAUGCGGUUUUCAUCAGGCGAAAAAUCGAGAAACCACACGAAGAGAGAGAGAGAGAGGUUGAGACACUGUGAAAAAAAGGAGUAGGAGGCUCUUGGACGGUGGACAGCGAUCGCUUCAGGAGUUCAGAGGGUCUUCUUAGAGAGAGCUUUUGUGAGAAAAAAUUUCAUAUGAGGGAGAAAUGGGGUGUACGAGGGUUGAGGGUGAGAUCUCCUCUUGUAAUAUUUCUUUUUCUCAUAGUAAAAUUUGCAUGCCCCAUGGAGACGAGCCAUUUUUUGGUUGUCUACGUAUUAGAUUAUUUUUCUAUUUUAUUUCUUCUUUCUUCUUGCUGCAUCGCACGGUAUCAAAAAGGUCCUGAGAGGUGGUGUCCUGGCCAGACAUCCACCCUACAAGUGGUAUCAAAACGAGACGGUACAAGAACGUAGAUUGCAACGGUGGUGAGCAAGACUGAAGAUGGAGAAGACAUGAUCAAUCAAGUUGGAUAUCAACAAGUUUGAUGGAAAGAGUAAUUUCUCCUUGUGGCAGGCAAGGGUGAAGGACGUACUCAUCCAAUAAGGAUUGAUCAAUGCUCUCUUAUGCGAGUAGAAGCCGAAUAUCAUGGAGGUGUAGAAUUGGAGACGGCUACAGAUGCAGGCGGUAAGUACCAUCCGCAUGUACUUAGCGGAUGAGGUGGCGAUCCAUAUGCUUAACGAGACUUCCUUGACGGUGUUGUGGUCGAAGCUCGAGGAGUUACACAUCGCGAAGUCUCUCACCAACACUCUUUUCUACUAGAGGCUGUUCUAUCAGCUAUGGAUGAUUGAGGGACAGAGCGUGCAAGAGCAUCUCAGCUACUUUCAGAAGAUCCUCACUGACCUCCUCAGCGUUGGUGAGAAUAUUGAGGAGAAGACCAGGGUGCUGAUUUUGCUAGCGUCGCUUCUCCCUUCGUAUGAGUUCUUGAUGACUGCUCUUCUAGUGGGAAAGAGCACCAUCAAGAUGGAUAAGGUCACCGCGGUGAUUCUCCAGAAUGAAGUUCUCAAGAGGGAGAACCCAGCUUCGAGCUCAGAUGGCGGUAGCUCAGCUUUGAUAGUUUCUGAAGGAGUAGGAGGCGAUAGACGGAGCGACAGAAGAUCGUGAUGAGGGCAGUCCAAGUCCAGGAGAGACUUGAGCAAGACCAGGUGUUACCAGUUUGACGAGUUGGGGCAUCUAGCUAGAGAUUGCUCUCAACUCAGAGAUCGAACGAUGGCUACUGUAGCGACGGCCAGUAGCGAUUCAGAGGGAGAUGUUCUGGAGAUAUCUGAUGAGAUAUCUUUUUCUUCCCCGCAGUGAAUUUUAAAUUCUGCAUGCACCUAUCAGAUAUGUUGCAGAGAGGAGCAGUUUGACUCCCUAGAGAAUAGUGAGGGCACUAUUUAUCUGCCGAAUGGAUCAUGCUGUGCGAUCAGAGGCAUCGAGACGGUCAGCUGGAUGAUACAUAAUGGUACAGUGAAGAGAUUGAAGGAGGUCCGAUACAUACUCGAUUUCAAACGGAAUCUUAUCUCACUAAAUAGAUUAGAUUCGAGAGGCUACAGGACGGUAGCUGAUGGAGGAAUCCUGAAGGUGCUACGCGGCGGUAGGAUUGUUUUGGAGGAGAAGAAGGGGAGGAGAGGACAUUAUUACCUGACGGAGAACCCAGUGCGGGUGGAGCUUCGGGAACCAAAUAGAGCCCAGAGCGAGGUGGAGCUUCAGAUGGAGGUGGAUCGGACACAAGACAGGAGACUCGGGAGGAUGAAAGGCGAUAUCGCAAGGUGAGAUUCCUAUUGCCGCAGGAUGAUACUCCGAGUAGGUCUCAGGUUAGGAAGAGCAUAGCAUACGACGGAGAUGGGAUCAAGCGGCCUGACUUGACUCCAAUGUUUGUCCAUUCAUGAUCAACAGGCGAUUGCCCCAAGACAUAGGGGUGAGGAGAUCCAGAAGCUCUCGGAAUCAGGAGAAGGUUGAAUAUCGAGUCGAGAUAGAGAUUGUUAGGAUUUGAUGCCUCAAAAUUUGAUCUAUAUUGAGCCCAAAGUGAGGUUCGCAAUAAAAAACGGAGUCCAACGAGGCCAAGAUCACUUUAAAUGGAGUCCGGAUGGCCGAGAUAUGAGCGAUUGAAGUCGGCACAGAACUCGAAGCGAUGGAGGACCGGUGGCUGCCGGUGGCACGACCGUGUGCAGCAGGGCGCAGCCCAAGUGCGGCUGCGCGCGGCCCAGGCCCAGGCUUAUGAGCGCACGGGUCGGCCCAGGCCCAGGCACUGCGUUGGGAGCCCGUUGCCCAGUCCACCGUGGAUCGGACGGUGCACAACGGACCACAUGGGUAUUUACCAUGCAUUUCUCACGGUCCACGGACUGUUCCUUGGACUAGUGCACGAUCGGAGGGCGUUGGUUGAUUCUGGUUUCGAUCCAACGGUCCAGAGGCUUUGUUUGAUUGCUUUAAGGAUUCCUUAACCUAAUUUAACCCGUUUUUAAGCCUUUAAAAGGCAUGAUAAUGCAGCAGAGAGGUGUGGUUCGGUCUGGCGCACGAUUUUCAUUAGGUGAAAAAUCAAGAACUCACACGAAGAGAGAGAGGCUGAGAUGCUGUGAGAAGGAGCAGGAGGCUCUUGAAUAGCGGACAGCGGUCGCUUCAGGGGUUCAAGAGGAUCUUCUUAGAGAGAGAGCUUUUGUGAGGGAGAACUUCUUGUGAGAAAAAAAUUGGAUGUACGAGGAUUGAGAGUGAGAUCUCCUCUUGUAAUAUUUUUUUUCUCAUAAUAAAGUUUGCAUGCCCCGUAGAGGCGAGCCCUUUUUUGGUUGAUCCACGUAUUUGAUUGUUUUUCUAUUUUAUUUUUUCUUUCUUCUUACUGCAUCGUGAGGUUUCAAAAAGAUCUUGAGAGAUGAUGUCCUGACUAGACAUCCACCCUACAUAUAUAUAGCCGGCCAUCUAUCCAUAUAUAACCUCCUCUUCUUUCUCAUUAAGCUGUUAGUUCUUUUCGGUCCGUUCAUGCAACCUUUCUCCUCAUCCUUGAAUCUUUUUCUCCCCUUUUGAAAUAUUAGGCCCCUUCCUCUCUAUGGCCAUAGAUGGUAUUUAUUAUUACAUAAUAUAAUAUUAGAUGAUAUGUACUUAAUAAAUUAUUCAUCUAACAAUCUAUAUAUACCUCUAGACAAAUUGAUACGUAAUUUUCGAAUAUCAUGUUUGCUAUUGUAUAAUACAUAUCUAAGUGAUGCAUACUUGAUAAGUUUCUAAUAUAUACUUUAAGUUUCUUUGAUAUAUAUAUUUGAUAGUGACCCAACACACAUAUCUAAAUAAAUUAAUGCAUUUUUAAACAAAAUGACUAUACAAUUUCUAGAAUAUAGUGUUUACUAGUUCAUAGUAUAUAUCCAAAUGAUGCACGUUGGAUAGGUUUUUAAUGCAUAUUUUAAGUUGCCUGGAUACAUACUCAAGAGCAACCUAAUACACAUAUCUAAAAAAAUUGAUAUAUAUUUAAACUAAUCGAUAUAUUAUUUUCAAAAUAUCAUAUUCAUCAAUAUACGGUACAUAUCUAAUGAUACAUACUUUAAAAUCUUUUUGAUACAUAUUUUAAAUUUUUUUGAUAUAUUACCAGCAACAAUCCAAUACACAUCUCAAGACAAAUCGAUAUAUAAUUUUUAAAAAAUAAUAUUUACUGUCAUACAAUCCGUGGUCAUACGAUCUAUACUUGGGAUGGACAUCCUCACAGGGAAGAAGAUUCAAAGGAGAAAAGUCCUAGGAAUGGACGGAGAGCAAAGAACAACUCGAUGAGAGAGAAGAAAGUGAUGCAAGUGAAUGGCCUCGUGAAUGAUGCUUUAUAUACUUUGUUUAUUAUAUUUUUUUAGAAUUACAGGAUAGUAGGAGAAUCCCAUUCUAUUUUGACUCUUUAAUUUCUAUUUUAAGAUGGAUAUAAUCAAUUAUGUGGCAAGGAAAAAAAGAUUGCUCCAUACAAUCUUCUACGGCGCAUGUAUGAGGUCUCUAACGCUGGAUGAGAGAGAAGUUUCAUCUCAGAGAGCAUAGCACAUAGAUGUGUCACUUUCUACUUUCAAAAUGGUCAUAAAGAUGCCCCACAACUUAGAAAAUUCCAUGUGUACUCUCUGACCUGUACCACGCUCUCUUUUUGGGAUAAAGAUAAAGAUAUGCUCAUAACUUGGGGCCUCUUUUUCUCUUCAUGUUUGCACCAGAUGGAGGAAUAAAGUGGUCGGUUGGACCACCAUGUUGCCUGUUACUUUGGACCGUAAAACAGGUUGCCUGACACGAAAUACGGUUCCCCAAUCACAGCUAUUUUGUAUCACUUGGAUGUCCAUUGGGCUGGCUCAGCUAAAGGCUGACACAAAACCUAUACAUGUUCCUUCCCCCACAAAAAACAAGGAAAACAAAGAAAUAUCCUUGUUUGACAUUACAGGUGUAAUGCCUUCCAUCUCAUGUUGGGAGCCAGUUGUAUCUUUGAUCAUUUUCUGAUAUAAGCUGCUCCUAAAACAACCAUCAUAUCCAUAACCAACAGUCUAUCAUACCUUGUCCCAGUGAUUUGGGAUCAGCUUUUGGAACAUGGUCUUGGAAACAACUAUGAGAAUACACACAUACUAUAUAGAUAAUUAGAAAACAUAGGCAGGAAAACCUGCAAAUAAUAAUUGCACCAGUAGGAAAACACAAUAAUACAGUUGCAGUCCCUUUAUCAGGAUGACAGCAUCCCAGAUGAAAGCAAUAUUAGCAGAGCUAUGGUUGUCAGAGAGCUCGCAAUCAACCCACUCAGCAAAAUCCAAUCAACGGUGGCUAAUUCGACACUCAUUCAGCUUGUCUCAUGGUUUUCCAGGAAUUUACUUGCAUUCACAUCAUUCAUAUUCACUGGUCCUUGUAACUUUCUCUUCCUGAGUAGCAUAGACUGAACUGCGCUAAUAAAAUCUCCCUAUUUAUAACCAUCGCAAUAGGAGCUUCUUCAAGACCACAAUUGCUAAUUUGCUGCACUAGAUUCUGCACUGCACAUGGGCAGGGUUCUUGCUUUCUUGAACACACACAACUGUCAUGUGAAUCCCUGAAAGGAAUAGCUUCCAAGUUGAUGUUACCUUCGUAUGUAAUUUCUUUUACCUGAGGUGAAGGAGUGUCGAUCACUGCACCAAAAACAGACCCUUCCUGCUGAUGUAAUCUUUACAUCUGUUGAGAUACCUAGCAUACCAUCUGGAGCAAUUACAAGCACUUGGAUAUAUCCCUUAGUAUGGCCAACCUGCGGUUACACAAGAAAAUCCGGGUACCGGGGAAGGUUAACACUGCAUCAAAGGUUUCAAAUGAUAGAAGGGACACUCGGAGGACUCUUGAAUUUUCGACCCUCUAAGUCCCCUUUUCUGUUAAUGAGAAAAGGUACUCUGGAUGUUCAGAUUUUUGGGCUGCUUAACUUUACAUUGAAUAAACUAAAAAAUUACAACUAACAGAAACACAGACUGAUUCACAUUAGAAAGAAGGAACAAGAUGGCUUCUUAACCAAAUGAAUACCAUCAGCAGUAAUCCAUAUCUUCUCAACCCGAUCUUCCAUUCCUUUGUCAGGGGAAAAUGAUUCAAAAUUUCAAAUACGGUAGUCAACUCACGAAUAUGCUUCUUCACUUCAGUGCUUGGAACUUUCUUCAUCCUUGCAGCAGAAGGCCCUUGAACAGUAAGAUUAGACAUUUGGUGACGUACGUUGACACGAAAACAAUAACCAUGCAGCCAUCCAACAGUUUAGCAGGUUUACAUACCUGACUAGUAGCUAGUCUGUGUCCUUUGCAUUUAGAUUUGAUGAAAGAAGAAAAAUUUAGCAUUAAUAAGUUUAGAUGAAAGCUCCCUUGAGCCAGGCCUCUAUUGCAAGACAUAUCAUGAGCACAAAAUAUACAGACCAGAAAACACUGUUGCAGAUAAGAACAUGGUACCAUCUUUGGAAUGCAAUGCCAUUACUUGCUGUGUGAAAGGAGGUCCAAGUUGGCAUAAUGAACACACACCUGGCAACAAGGACCUUCCAUUUUACUGUGGGGAUGUGAGUGGAUAAGGAACACUCUUAUUUAGGGAAUGGAAAUGCCAAGAGGCAUAUUAAAUAUAGCAAUAUGUUGCAAACAGGUCCAUUUAGUCGGUGCCAAAUUUUGCUAGUAUGCCAGAUACAUUUUUAAUAGCCAAUGAUACAUGGAGCUGAAAAGGAAAAAGAGCAAGAAGUAUUCAUUGAACUGAAUUAAGGUUGGUCUUGCUAGAAUCUUGUACGAGUAGAAGAUUUUCCAUUUACCAGGAAAUGUACUCAGGUGCAGGUAGCAGUACAAAUUUUGGUGUUACGCACUCAAGAAAAGUGUUUCAGCUACUAAAUUAGAACAGGGACAUGAUUUAAGCACUGGUAAGUGAAAAUAAUGCUUCUGGAAAUAAUUUUCUGCCCCAUGAUAAAAAUCUUAUUGUAUAUGCUGAUGUGGAAUAAAGCUACAACACUGAUCAAUGAAAUUACUGUUAUCUGAAGAAUUAACAAAAGACGAGAAAACAUACCUGGUCUAGGACAAAAUUGAGAAAUAUGAACUUGAGGGAAUUGGUAGUCCUUUAUCAGACUGACAAUUUUUGUGAACUCUUCAUCAGUGUCACCUAAAAACACAGGGGAUGAGUCUUUCCCUGUCAUCUGUUUUAUCUACUUGAUAUUUAACCGCACAAGACCAUCUCAAUAUUGUGCACUAUGCAGGUGUUCUCACAAGCAUUCACUUCAAUGAUCUGAAGCCCAAUCUUAAUGUUUAAGAGAAAAAACACAGGUUCAAAAUAACAAUGUAUUUCGCAGAGGAGCGGAGAAAAAUGCAUGCUGCCAACAAUGAGACUUUAUGAUCGGUCUAAACAACUAUUAGAACCAGCAGGAGGAUAUAUAAAGUAUAUUUUGCUAAUUUACCAGGGAAUCCACAAAUAAUAUCGGUUGCAAUCUGCAUCCCAGGAACAAGUUCAAUCAGAGUACCCAACUUCCCGAACUCGUUCACAAUGUACUCACAAUGCAUCGCCCGACAUAAUGCCAACACACAACUCGUCAGGUCUAUAAUUGAUGAAAAUCAGAGCCACCAUAACUUCGUAGACUCAUUACUGCUUGGAUAAUCAAAAUGCAGGAAACAAGAAUAGCUUGUUUACAUUUACAUAUGGACGCUGAUAGGAAGGUUAUGAGCAAUAAUAUUAUGAAAAAUAUCUAUACUAAAACUUACAGCCAGGACAGCAUCCCUCCCAGACUGCAUAGGUACAUGCAGGAACAAAUACACACAUGGGUGGCACAAUAUUUUGGCUAUCUCUUUCAAAUGCUCCAGUAUAAAAGGGGGAAUAGUCAUGCCAAUGCCAAGCAUGGUGAUUCUAUCAUGAUGAAGUUCUGCAAAAAUGGCAUGUAGUAGAACUGGAAAAUUUUGAUAUGAGAGUUGUCAUGGCAGACUGACUAGGAGACUUCACUGUGAAUCUGCGCCAGAUAUAAUUGGAUCAUUUGAACAUUUAGAACUGUAAAUUAAACCACACAUUUGUAGGUGCCUAUCCAAUGCCACAGGGGAAAGAAAAUGAUAAAAAGAAAGGAAAAAUGAAAGAAAGCUUUGCAAUUGCAUAUCAUAUUCGAUGAUGAGGAGGGCAAGUGCAUAAAUAGCAGAUGCAACAUGGAUCAAGUUUCUAAAAUUUCAAGAUAAAUUUGGCAGCAAAAAUUUUAAAAGCUUUCCACUUAGGCAUCAAUGGUUUUAGAAAGUAUAAGAGGACAUAAUACUUAAAUAUCCAGUGUUGAUAAAUGAUAUGAGCUAACCAUUCAAGUUUGCGUAUAAGUAAAAUUCUUUGAACUAUCUGGAUGAAUAACAGAAAAUAUGGUACUUCAUUGCGAAUGAAAAACAGGAUUAAAAUGAGUAAAACGAAAUUAUAAAAAAGAAAGAAGGGAAAAGUAUGUAUUUAUUAGCCAUAAGUCUGCUUCCUCAGGAUCAUCAGUCACUGCAUAUCCAAAUGCUGAAAGCUGACAAGCUAUGUAUUCGCUAUCAUUCUGUUAAGCAAACACAAAAGGAGAAUUUGUAAGCAAUUUAAAUCUAACAAUCAAAUUUUAUCUUAUAUUUGUUGUUCCAUACAAGCUGUUUGUAUUCAGCAUAAAUUUUUGAUGAAAAUAAAUGGGGAAUUAAAAAAAUUCUAUAUUCUAUUUACAUCACAUUCAUCUUUUCAUCUGGAAGAUGUUCCUUCGCAUUCAUACAUAAUUUCAAAACUCACAAGAGCCUUACCUUACCCUCAAGGGGGCACCCCAGGGAAGAAGCAAUGAAAUUUUUUAUCCUUGUAAGUGCAUGGUGAUUCCAAAAUUCAUUGCAAAGAAAAAGUUAUGAUAGCUUAAUCUAGAACAACUUCUCUAUACUUUUCAUUUGAGUUUCAUUCUUGUAUUAAAGAAUUUCCAAUUCCCAGUUGUAAGAUCUGAAAGAAACAACCAUGACAACUGAAUCUCAUAUAUAAGAAUUUUUUUUUUGGCCCGCAAUCAAUUUGCAUGAAUAGAAGGGAAAUAUGGGAAAUGGAUGGAAAAAUUGAUUGGGUAGGAAAAGGAAGUACUAUGAACAUGAAAAUCAGAUUUGCCUUAGCGAAGAGAAGGAAGAGCAUAAAAAGCAGAAAAUGUAAAGCAAUAUAAUUCCAAAUCAAAAUAGUUCAAAAAGAGGAAAGCAAAAAAGGUUAAGAAAAAUUGGGGCGGAUGGAGGUGGUGCAAGAGAGAGAUGAAUUAAAGAAGAUAGAGGUUUCACUCCCGAAACUUAUGCACACAGUCGAAAAUAAAAUCAUCAAAAUACAACUUACAUUUGUAUGCUCUCUUUCACUUAUCAAUAGAACAAAUCAAACCUUGUGGAUAACUUUGCAAUAAUAAUCAAAUAACCCUAUGUUUAAGCUUUUUAAACACCUUGCAGAAUCAUCCUAAAAGCAAGCCAGAAAAAACGAGAAACAUUUAGGAAGCAAGUGCAGGGAAAAAUUGCCAGAGAAAAUUCCAAAGUAGGUGCACCCCCUGUGGAAGUUUCCUGUUACCAAGUCAAUAAAUCUGAAAUCUCGAUCCUCAAACUAGGCUAGAGAUGACAGUUUCAAGUCUUUAUAAUCUGAAAAAGAGCCUUUCAUGUGGCCAUAUAUCUUGAACAGGUCUUAAGCAACAACAAUUUUAAAGAUUUGGUUAUGAGAAGGUGGAUUCAUUUACCAUGAUUUGUCAGAAGUAAAAAGAAUGAGAAUUUCUCCUAAGCUUAAUGAACCAGCAACCAAAAAUUAUGAGCUUCAAUCCCAAUCAAAUAACAGGGCAAGGUUGAGACUUAAGAAACCUUCAGUAGUAGACAGUAAAUAUGCUGAUUGCUCUGACUUAUAGAAGUCUAAUUUUAUAAGCAACACCACCAUCACCCAUCCCCCAAAACCAACAAAAAAAAAGGGCAAACAACAGCAUGUAACAUUAAGAUGACACUAGAAUGAAUACGAAUGGGGAUGUUAUAUUAGUUCGAAAGCUUCUCAGGAUUUAUUAGCAGAGUUUGUCAGACUGUUUUUCAGUAAAUACCUUCCACAAAUGAAACAGCACAUGUACAUUGUAGCUAAAAAGGUGAUCAAUGAAGUACUUCAACCACGAACAACCACAUUAUUUAUCUUCAUAUCACAUAAGCGAAUGACAGUUCUACUCAAUGACAAAAAGGAUGCCUGGCUUCUUCCAGAAUGUCACAUAUUAACUCUCUAUAGGGUGUAAAGUGAUUCACACCAAUGCCCUUGCAUCCUUCUUCAACAACUUAAAUUUACAGCAGGGAGGUAAAAUGUCAUGGAAAGUAUAAUUGUGACAUGGAGUCCGAUUUCCCGUUUACGAAAUUACACUUCCAAUUCCAUGCAUUUUAUGUCUGAAUGUUUUGCCAUCCAACAUAAAACCACUUCUCUCAAGUGAUUCAUUCCAUGUUCUUAUGACUCACAGAAUUCCCUAUACAUCGACUAUUAAUAACUAAGAUCGAAAUUAAACAAACACUUAACAAAGCAUUCAAUCACCAAAGACCCAGAUCAAUUAAUACAAACUAAACCGUUUAGUUGCACAGUUAUUCAACCAAUAUCUACGAUAGAAAAGAAAAUAAUUAAAAAAAAAAACUGUGUCGGCAAAAAAACAAAAUUUUUAUGGAGGGAUUAAGAAUAUUUGCCUGGUUAGCGCAUCCGAUUGUCUUCAUUUGAGAGCUGGAGACGGGGCCGUGGAGGAGGCGAGCUCUGGGCGGCCACCACGUCUUCGACGUCUUCCAUCCCGACAAGACCACUUCCCGCGGUCUCACCACGGCGCUCCGCCCGGAUCGCCGCGGCGGCGGCGGCGAAGGUCGCGGUUGUAUGGAAUAGUGUUUCCACAUCUGGUACUCGGCUUGAGGGUCCGGGCGCCCGCAGGCAUCAUCAUGGCGGCUCGGUUUUAAGAUGGGCCGUGAUUGGGCUAGGCUCGGUCUCGAUGGUACACUUUUAAUUGGGCCGAAACGAGUGUUGACGAUAUCACAAAACACUUUAAGCUCAACCAUAGUUUGAGUCUGGCUUCAUUCCUUGCAGUUCUUCCCUUCCCAAAGGAGAGAGGGGAUACAUGCAUGUAAAUCUAUAUAAUUAAUAUCAAUUUAUCAUUAUUUAUGAUAAGUUUAACAACAAAAUAUUUUGACUCAUUACGAUAUAUGAUAAAACCUGAAAGUAUUUUAGAAGAGAAAAAGAAAAGACAAAAUAGAUUAUAGCAUAUCUAGGAAAUAUUAGAAUAAUACUUCAUUAUAAUCAUUAAUCUGCUCAUUGUUUUUCAUAAUGAUGGAAUCAUAUUAGCUUGUUUUUAGUUUGUUUUGAAAUAAUCUGCACUAUAAAAUAUUCCUAACUCUUUUCUGUUAGUUAAUUCACAAAAAUUCUAGUUGUUCUACCAAGUAUAUGGCACGAUAUUGAUUGAUACUUUGUUGUCUAAGAUGAAACCAAAACAGAUAUUAGCACAUAAAAGAUCUUGGUAUGCAGGUCUUCUAAGUUGCUAAUCUUAGCACGCAAAAUGACUUGCUUAGUGUCAUGCAGUACACUAAUCCAAUAAUAUCUCAUCAAGAGACGAGCUAAACCAGCUUAAGCUAUCAUGGAUUACCUCAUUAUGCCAUCCCUGUAGCUAUCACAUCCUAUGCACCAUCGUAUUGGCCACCACACAGCUAUACCAACUUAAUAGAUAAACUGUUCCGAGACACUUCGACUACAGCUAAUGAUGAGCAGCGGAAUCUCCAACGGCUAAAGUUCUUCGAGGUUGGUGGAAUGGAAUAAACAGACAAUGCAGACAUACACCUGGAUCCACGUAUUGGAGUGGCCCAGGACUUCCACCCCUACUUACUGAAAGCUUCUCUCUAUCCCUCCCUUUAUGAAACCAGGAGAUUGGAGGGUGGAGGCUAUAUCCCAUAUCCAAGUUGGUCCUUUUGUAAAGUGGCAUUUGCUCUUGUUCUUAUUUUUUCGAGAUACUACAUUAUUCGAUGAGUGUUAAUGAUAUUUGAUUGGCAUGUAGAAAGGGACAUAGGUAGGGAUACGAGCUUUUUGUGUUGGAUUCCAAUAAUUCCAACUUUGUACAGCUUGGAUUUCUCAACGGUCAUCUCCACCAUCAUCAUCCACCCUAAUUUGAGCCCACAUAUCUAUCAUUAUUGUGCUUGACCUUUACAACCACAUCAUUCAUGUAAGCUUAUAUAUAUAUACACACACACACACAUAUAUAUUGCUUUGGAAAGAAAUUAUUCAUAUAAUCUUAAUUAUAUAUCCUAAAAGAAGCCUGAGAUCAAGGAUGCGUUGUCCACAAGCAAGGCAUCACAAUAUCUCCAAAGGUGCUGCGGCUUUGGGUCAUCUCUGAUUCAAGCACUGCUGCAUUGGUUCUGACUUGAAAUUGGAGACAGCGCAAGAUGGGACCGAGGGCUCUCGUUCUAUCAAUAAAAAGGAUCUUACCAUUUAAACUAGUUGAUACCUUUUUGCUACAAAUAUUUUCAUUUCUUAUAAUCUUAUAUAAAUUCUUCAAAAUUACAAAAAAGAAAUCGAUAUUUUUUUGGGAUAUGAAAUACAGGUUCUCUUGUAAUGAUUGUAUAAUUAUUUUAGAGAGUUUAUACAAACAUUCUGAUAAUUUUGUGCAAAGAAUUGUGAUAGAGGCAUAUGACUGCCUGUAAUCUUUUUAAUAGUCAUCAACUUUCUUCAUCACCUGCAAUGCUAUGCAGGUCCUACCAUUUGCAUGCAAAAGUUUCUCAAACUAUGUAGCAGGAGGGGUGAAUUUUUACUCCUAAAAAUUGGCAUGGUAUAUGGUGUGUAGUUGAUCAUGAAGCUGCAAUGCCAGCUUUUCCAAGCCUAGAGAACUCUUCAUAUGAAGAAAUAAAGUAUUUUUUAAAAAAUAUUUGAUAAAAUAAGAGUAGACUAUGAUCAUGUUGGAAUCUAUUGCAAUGGCAAUAAAUUAAUAAAGAACUCACGGAUUGGAGAGCAAUUAAUGUGCUGAUAAGAGCUAUUGGGCUAGUAAUACAAGCACUUCCAGCCAUAUCUGGCUUGACACGAUCAAACAAUCAUCUAACGUUUCAAAAUUGCUAUCACACCCACAAACUCAAAAAGAAUUUUUUUAAAAAAGAAAGGGAUUGGCGUAAAUUGGUGUUGCCCCAGUCCUCUGCUUUGGUGCAUGAGGUCUCGGGUUCAUUCUUAAAUGGCACAUUUCAAAAAUUUUAUCUUAUUAAAUUAUGGAUAAAUCUCCCUCUAAUAUUCUUUAAAAAAAUGAAAAAAAAAGGUAAAUAGCUGGCACUAGCCAUCGUUACCUAGCCGUUAUCGCCAAUCGCCAUCUCCCACGGCUUCUGGAGGCUCCGACCCGGCGCAUCACAACGGCGGAUGACGUUAACAAGUGUGGGCUUUUGGAGGCCCACACUCGGGACGUGACGCGAUGACAGCGCGUAUUAUGGCCGUUACGGCGUCGUGGAGGUUACACGGUGUAACGCUUCAAGGAAUCGAGCUCCUCGCGCACCAACCUCAUACCACUAACGACUAUAAUAUUUUUCUGCUCUUUUCUCUUUUUUUUGGAUUGUUUGCAUGCAUUCGGUUGCCAUUGACAAACAUAAUUUGUUAUAUUUUUGCUCUUCAAACUUUUUUUUAUAUAUAUGAUCAUCUAAUUAUCAUGUUUUUCCAUGAAUAUUCUUCUUGUUACAUGUUUGUUAAAUAAUAAUAAUAAUAAUAAUAAUAAUAAUAAUAAUAAUAAUAAUAAAUUUAAAUAUAAAAUAAUUUUAUUAUACUUUCAUAUCAAUAUCUUUAAACAACUACAUAAAAGUAAAACUUUUUCCAUAUAAUUGAAUGUCAACUUUUUUUUUUUUCAGAAAUACUAAUGUAAAGAAUAACUGUAUCAAAUAAUACUUAAAUUUUUUUUAAAAAAAUAAUACUUAGACUUGUUUGGUGUUGACACCAUCUAUUGAUCAAAACUGAAAGGGAUGAGGAGCAUCAGUCCAUGCAAAAGCAUAAUAAUUUGAGAGAUAUAUGUACAAAUAGUGCAUAUAAUAGUUUAAGAUGGUAAAUAUAUAAUAAGCUAGACUUGUAAGGGUGUAAGUGUGUGUGAUAUAUUUUUUUUUGAAUUUAAUUAAUAUAAUUUAGAGCUGCUUGUUAAUGAAGCUGGAAGAGGCGCCGCUAGUUUAUCAAAAGUAAAAUAAAGUCAUCUUUGUUAAAAAGCCUAUCAAAAGGCAAUAAUGAAUAGGUGGGCACCGGUCCUGAAAAUUUUGGUUCACGUACAGCCCUUGCAAAUAGCGUUAAUGCUUUCUUUCUCUCUUCAUUAUAGUAGGAUUAUUUAUUCUCGCAUGAAUUAGGCUGUGCCAGAUGCCCAGGCUCAGCUCAUGCAUAGCUGUGUAAGGCUGGCCACGCCUAAACAAGUACCAAGCAAGUGGCAUGAAAGGAAAGAACAAGAAGAAAAAAUCCAAGAAAGGACACGAUAAACCGUUGCCAGGAGAAUACCUUCGAGGGCUCCGGUAUCCAGAGUACCGUGUGCCAACUAUUCCAAACCCGGAGCGAAGAUAUCCUGUGGGCUUACUCUCCUGGUUGCUUUCUAGAGUCCGGUCUCUGCCAACUUUAAAAGUUUCCUCACGCCGUCCAUCCUCCAGUCUCUGUCACGACCAACCAACCUACAAGCAGGAAAAAAGAAGCUAAACAUAUAUAUAUAUAUACACGCACACAUCAUUGUAGUUCUCGUAUAUCGCAUGAAAAAUAAAGAAGCGUGAGAGCGAGGUCUUCUUAUGCUGCCAUGGGGCACCACCUUCUCCUCACGCAUGCUUGCAAAAGCCAACCUCCUUUAUGAAACAAAGAACCGUUUCAUCCUUCAAUUCUCUCAUUUCUGUUGGCUGAUGAAAAAAACACUGAACUGCCGAGUCGUAAUUGUGAAACUAAUAUUCUCAUGAGAUUAUUCAGUGUGAAUGCAUAGAAAGUGUUAUGUAGUAGAAGGG